RNAcentral lists this ribosomal RNA (430 nucleotides) under Longitarsus bedeli. Its description in RNAcentral is "partial 16S large subunit ribosomal RNA". The record is from RNAcentral. Lineage: Eukaryota; Metazoa; Arthropoda; Insecta; Coleoptera; Chrysomelidae.
GUCUUUUUGGUAUUAAUUUAAGGUUUAACCUGCCCGAUGAAAAUUUGAAUGGCCGCGGUAUUUUGACUGUGCUAAGGUAGCAUAAUCAUUAGUUUUUUAAUUAAAAGCUGGAAUGAAGGGUUGGAUGAAAAAUUAACUGUCUCUAAUUAAUUUUAUUAGAAUUUUAUUUUUAAGUUAAAAAGCUUAAAUAAGUUUAAAAGACGAGAAGACCCUAUAGAGUUUAAUAUAUUUAAUUUAUUAAUAUUUAGUAUUUAUUUUUUAUAAUUAUAAUAUAUUUUAUUGGGGUGAUUAAAAAAUUUAAUAAACUUUUUUUUUAACUUUAUAUUAAUUAAUAAAUAAAUGAUCCAAAAAUUUUGAUUAUAAGAUAAAUUACCUUAGGGAUAACAGCGUAAUUUUAUUAGAGAGUUCUAAUCGAAAAUAAAGUUUGCGA